GUGCCAUCUAUAUAUCUGGCUGCUUAAAUGAGUUAAUAUGACCAUUAUACACACUUCCAUUUGGGAGAUGUGUUUCAAAAAACCUCAGUGUAGAUACAGACUCGUAUUUUCUCUCCAGCCCCCCUUUCUUCUCCAUCUUCUGCCCCAAGGGCUUCCUGAGAUUUAAGUGGUCCAUUCCAGACUAAAAGCCAACACAAAGAAAUUAUUCAGCUUUCACAUUAAAAUGCUAGUCAGACAAUUUCCCCAAGACUUUAGCCUGAGAAAACACUGGUUCAUCCUGACUGGGUAAAGCUUAUCCAAACUGUACUGUCUGCUGCUGUAAGCUGACCCAGGGAUGAGUGAUGGAGUCUGUGAUGUUGGACUGCCCAGAGGCAGUGUCUCUCCUUCAAGCUGCUGAAGUGUUUUUUUACUAACAUUUCUGAGCUGUGCUUUGGUCUACUCCAAACUUGCUGGCCUUUCUCCAAAAGGAAAGUCUUUAUCACUUAUUCGAUGGACACAGCUAUGGAGGUGGUGAAAUUCGUGAACUUUUUGUUGGUAAAUGGCUUCCAAACUGCAAUUGACAUAUUUGAGGAUAGAAUCCGAGGCAUUGAUAUCAUUAAAUGGAUGGAGCGCUACCUUAGGGAUAAGACCGUGAUGAUAAUCGUAGCAAUCAGCCCCAAAUACAAACAGGAUGUGGAAGGCGCUGAGUCGCAGCUGGACGAGGAUGAGCAUGGCUUACAUACUAAGUACAUUCAUCGAAUGAUGCAGAUUGAGUUCAUAAAACAAGGAAGCAUGAAUUUCAGAUUCAUCCCUGUGCUCUUCCCAAAUGCUAAGAAGGAGCAUGUGCCCACCUGGCUUCAGAACACUCAUGUCUACAGCUGGCCCAAGAAUAAAAAAAACAUCCUGCUGCGGCUGCUGAGAGAGGAAGAGUAUGUGGCUCCUCCACGGGGGCCUCUGCCCACCCUUCAGGUGGUUCCCUUGUGACACCGUUCAUCCCCAGAUCACUGAGGCCAGGCCAUGUUUGGGGCCCUGUUCUGACAGCAUUCUAGCUGAGGCUGGUCGGUAGCACUCCUGGCUGGUUUUUUUCUGUUCCUCCCCGAGAGGCCCUCUGGCCCCCAGGAAACCUGUUGUGCAGAGCUCUUCCCCAGAGACCUCCACACACCCUGGCUUUGAAGUGGAGUCUGUGACUGCUCUGCAUUCUCUGCUUUUAAAAAAACCAUUGCAGGUGCCAGUGUCCCAUAUGUUCCUCCUGACAGUUUGAUGUGUCCAUUCUGGGCCUCUCAGUGCUUAGCAAGUAGAUAAUGUAAGGGAUGUGGCAGCAAAUGGAAAUGACUACAAACACUCUCCUAUCAAUCACUUCAGGCUACUUUUAUGAGUUAGCCAGAUGCUUGUGUAUCCUCAGACCAAACUGAUUCAUGUACAAAUAAU
This 1407-nucleotide small RNA is filed under the name Pan troglodytes (chimpanzee). RNAcentral describes it as "processed transcript". Lineage: Eukaryota; Metazoa; Chordata; Mammalia; Primates; Hominidae. The record is from RNAcentral.